ACACCUCAACUCUCAUGGUUUGCCAUGAUGAGCUUGGACUUUGGGGGUUUUGCUGGCCCUGUGGUCAGCUCCCCUCAAACAAAUCAGCUUGCCAGUGUAUGGCGGCGCCGCGGGUGUGAUAACUAUCUACACUUGCGGUCGUCCGUUGGGUAACCUUUGGCAACAGAGGUUCACUGGAGCUCAUAAAUGUCUCUCCUCAGUGAAGACAGCUUUUCAAAC
Molecule: unclassified non-coding RNA, 219 nt
Filed under: uncultured Tomentella
Lineage: Eukaryota; Fungi; Basidiomycota; Agaricomycetes; Thelephorales; Thelephoraceae
Description: sequence contains ITS2
Source: RNAcentral